This 69-nucleotide transfer RNA is filed under the name Mansonia uniformis. RNAcentral's name for it is "tRNA-Phe". Lineage: Eukaryota; Metazoa; Arthropoda; Insecta; Diptera; Culicidae. The record is from RNAcentral.
AUUUAAAUAGCUUAUAUUAGUAGAGUAUAACAUUGAAGAUGUUAGGGAAAUUGUAAUAAUUUUUAAAUA